GUCCGCCCCCCCGCCCGGCGUUGCUGGGGUAACGGCGAGCGCGUGGGGCAGAGGAAGUCUUUAAAGAACAGUUACCUUGGAAAAUGGCAGAGGCAGUUUUCCGUCCCCCAAAGAGGAAAAGAAGAGUGUAUGAGAGCUAUGAGUCUCCCCUGCCGAUCCCUUUCGGUCAGGAGUGUGGUCCUAAGAAGGACUGUAGAAUAUUCCGGGCCGAGAUGAUAAACAGCAAUGUGAUUGUGAGGAACGCGGAAGAUAUGGAGCAGCUCUAUGGGAAGGGUUAUUUUGGAAAAGGUAUCCUGUCCAGAAGCCGUCCGAACUUCACAAUUUCAGAUCCUAAGCUGGUUGCCAAAUGGAAAGAUGUGAAGACAGACAUGCCUGUAAUCACGUCAAAAAAGUAUCAGCGUAGCGUGGAAUGGGCCACAAACCUCAUGCGAAGACGAGGCCAGGAUGAGAGCACAGCGCGUAGACUCCUUGAGGAUUACACGAAGCCCCUUCAGCAUCUUUGUCUGCAAAGGAAUGAAGAGGGCCAGUUGUGUAACGAGCUGAACUAUGAAAUGGUUUCCAAAACGGAAGGGACAGAAGAUAGAGAGAAACUUUCUGCCACGAAUGGGGUUGCAGGAAAGUCGCGUGAUCUGGAGGAUCCCAGCAAGCGAUCAGACCGCCUGCAGGAGGGCUCCGGGCCUGACCCGAUACCUACCCACGGCUCCGAUGAACACGUGGCAGAGGUCACCGCUCCUCUGCCCCUCGUCCACUGCGGCAAACAAGAUGCUCUCCUCCCGCCCUCUGGCGCUCAGCCUGGGGACAGCAGCCAACGAGCGGGUCUGGUCCCGGCCAGGGAGAGAGGGCCUGAGCACCACUACGUGCUGGUGGAGGAAGUCGUGUGUGACGCGAGUGAGAGGGAAGAUGCCCCAGGUGGGGACUUGUCGCCAAAAAAGAGACUGAUAUGCAGAAGAAAUCCAUUUAGGAUCUUUGAGUACUUGCAGCUCAGCCUGGAAGAGGCCUUCUUCCUGGUCUAUGCUCUGGGAUGUCUAAGUAUUUACUAUGAGAAGGAGCCUUUGACGAUUGUGAAGCUCUGGAACACCUUCCGCGUAGUUCAGCCCACGUUCGGGACUACGUACAUGGCGUACCAUCACUUCCGAAGCAAGGGCUGGGUGCCCAAAGCGGGACUUAAGUACGGAACAGACCUGCUGUUGUACCGAAAAGGCCCUCCAUUUUACCACGCAAGUUACUCUGUCAUCAUCGAGCUGGUGGAUGACCGUUUUGAGGGCUCUCCUCGCAGACCUCUCAGCUGGCGGUCCCUGGCUGCCUUGAGCAGAGUUUCAGUCAGUGUCUCCAAGGAAUUUAUGCUGUGCUAUUUGAUUAAACCCUCCGCCAUGACUGACAAAGAAAUGGAGUCACCAGAAUGUAUGAAACAAAUUAAAGUUCAGGAGGUGAUUCUAAGCCGUUGGGUUUCUUCACGGGAGAGGAGUGAUCAAGACGAGCUUUAACAACUCAGCCUCAGGGUUCUGAUUUCACCAGCAAAUGUUACUGAGUCUCCUGUAUAAGCCAAGUUUAGGGCGAGAUGAACCAAAAGUGUGAUCAUUGACAUAAUUAUUUCCUCUCGGAAGUAAAAAGCCUACUUUAUGCCCUGGUAGGUAAGACAGUGGAGGAGAAGGAGGUGACAGAAACAGUUCGAGGUAUUAGAGAAAGAAGACGGACUUUCAUCGUGUCCUUUCUGAAUUCUGCACCUAGAGUGGGCAGAGGAGGUGAUUCGCUGUGGUAACUCCAACACCCCAACUCCCCACCUCAGGCCUGGGAAGCAGGUUGAUUGAGGAAUUGCCAAUCCUGUUUGUGCGCGUAGACACAGAAAGGCUGACUCAGGAGGAGUGCAUAUGGUUCCCCGCUCAGAUUCUGAGACCUUUUUUCUUUUUUCUAUUUUUUUUUUAAUUAUUAUUGAUUGUCAAAAGGUUACCAUGUGCUUUUUAUGUAAAAACAAUGAGGUGAAGGCAGUCAUUACUUCAUAAACUGUAAGGGUCUCUUCCUACAAAUCCCCAAUUUCUGGAUUCACAUUGAAAGGUGAAUUUGUUCCCUAAUUAAUUUAUAGGAAGAGUUCUCAUUGCUCUGUGAAUAAAAGAUGCUGCCACUUUACGCUGUAACAUGGACCCCAAACUACUGUGAAAAGAAUUUUAGUUGUGGUGCCUACAAUUUUGAAAACCCAGGGCAAUUUUUAUUAAUUUUGUAAAUUCUUACACUGCAGUAAGCUGAAAUAUGCAUAAAGGGAAGCCAUAACUCUUUUUUAUUAACCACAGUUUAAGACACGUAGAGGCCCAGUAGCUGUUCCAGGCAGGAACCCCCAGACAUCCCUUCCUGUCUGCUCUCAGGCACGAUGUGCACUCAGCACAAGCCGCUUCCCGGACCUGGGCCUGUUUGGGGACCAGGGGGGUCGAUGACGUAGAAGCCGUGCUCUUCUAUCAUGCGGUAGAGCGUGAUGUACUUGGAAGCCUUCCUCGUCCUCGGGAUCACAAACUUCUCCGUGAACUCGUCCCGGUCCAGCCGCUCCUCGCCCUCUGUGGCCAGGACGCAGUUAAUGAACUUGAGGGCGUAGCUGUAGCAGUUGUGGUGGUCUUCUUCGUACCUUACGGAGCAAGGACAUAGAGAAGACAAGGCUUAGCCCUGAGCUGCCCACGGCCUUUCAUAAUUUUAAUCUCGCUGCAAGCUGGGCCCCCAUGUGUGCUGGCCCCCUUGAUGACAGUGUCCAGAGGUGUAGUUCUGAGGGACACUUGGCAUCUAGGGCUAUUUCUGCUUGCAGCUUAAGUACAGAUAGGACUCACCGAGAUGUCCAGAGUGGUGACUCAAGUUGCAUAUAAGCCCCAAUUUGGGGAACUUAAUUUCACUGUAAUUCUAGAUUCUAGAAGUGGAAUUCCAUGUCUGAGUUUUAUGAUAUCCUACAGUGUCUAAACUUAUUUCAAGGGAAGCAUGAGAACAAUUUAAGUCCACAAGUGUGCUAUGUAUCUUCUACAGUGAUAAGGGGGCAAGGAAUAGAUAAAUUAACUUCAAAAUUGCUGAAACUUAAAAAGGGGGGAAGUUUAGAUAGGUUUACGUUUUGAACCUCAUUUAAAAUUGUUUUGUUUUAAGGGAAUAUAACACUGUGGGUUUUGCUGUACAUAUUAUUAAAUGUCGAGUGUGUAAAAGAGUCAAAUAAGUAAAAUAACUAGAGUACUAAGUUCUGGUCCUUUCAGCUCUUAGAGUGCUGUGGUUCUAUUGGGGAAAUGUGUGCUAGCUCACCUCUGCAGAAACCCCAAGUAAUUCAGGCCCUGCUUAAUUCUGUUACAGACGCUACUAUCUCAGUACAGGCUCAACAUGAAAGUCAGUGCAGCGUAGCGUCCUCUGUGAGCUGUGAUCGCGCCUGGUGGUGAGUGAGGGCGCUGUCCUACCUGUGAGGCAGCCAGGCCCCCGUGGUGGAGAAGUCUUCCAGGUACUGGUCCCACUGGUCCAUCAGUCCGAACAUGCCGGGCUGCAGGAGCGGGACGCUCACACUCUGCUCCCAGCCCGCUUCGUCUCGCUGGACACCGUGCACCGUGUAAUUAUACACGACUCCUGCCGCCAACACCAAAAUCACACAGAGGCGUCAGGGGAAACGCACCCUGGUGAACGUGACAGCGCCCACCUGGUAACUGCACACAACAGGGGCCCAGAUGGCACUUCCCGAUUGCCAUCCGAGAGCUCUCGAACCCCCUCCUCCAAGGAGCCUCUGCCUCCUUGCUCUCAGCACCCGAGGUCGUCCCAGAGAAACGAGACAGUGAUAGGUGCUGCGGUGAUCAUCUCCAAAUAUGUUUGUUGAAGUUCUCUGUCUACAAGGGCGUCCGUCUCAUUUCCUUAAAUCAGCAGUACAUGUCUCCUGACAAAGACUGGCACAGAGUUGACUGCUCUGCCAGUCGCUGAGUUCCAAACCCUGUCCUAGGUUUCUGUUCACUGUGUCAGUUCUCCUGCCUCAAGGGAGCAGCAAGGGCUGUAAUCAGACUUCACCUGUGGGGCCUGAUCGCAGCCGCAAGUGGCUGGCCUCGCUCACCAUUCCCAGGCCUGCACCUUCCUGCUGGCGGCACUCCCCAGGCCUUUUCCUGCACACUGUGCCCUCCAAGCUAAAUCUGGCCAAAGGAACCAUUUUAUUUAAAUGUGCUGCUUUUCUGAUUUUUUAAAGCAGACUUUCGCAGGCCCUACUGCAUAUUCAGGUGCUGUGUCCCCCCAGUUUAUCCCUGGUUUCCUGCCUGGCCCCUGGAGAGCCCGGAGUAGGAGGACCCAGUGGCAGUGGGCUGAGUAUAGCAUUGGGAGCAGAGGGUCUGCUUCUAACACAAGAUGAGGUCUUGGACAGCUCAACCUCUCUGGACGUCUGUUUCUUCCUGUCUUAAAAACUAACAGAAAACAUACAGGUUUGCAAUGUUUUUAAUGUUUUCUCAGCUCUUGGCUGAGAAAACAUUAAAGAGCUUUCAGAUACUUAGUAUUGUUAGUAAUGUUGCCACAAUACUUUUUCUCUAGAGAUGCUGCUCUCUUCUAACCAGGUAUUGGGGGAACUUUUUAAGCUAUGAAAGUGCACUUACCUUUUGUGUUGGUUAUCCCCACGUGAAGAUCAGACCUUCCGUCAUACUCCCUAGAAGAAACAAGAGCGUUUUUGCCCUCUCAUUUGCACACAGCAGGCGUGUAGAAUUGGUAUUUAAAGUGGGAGGGGAACAGUGGGCCUCUCCUCUUGGUCGGCGCCAGAGGCCAGGUUAGUGGAAAGGCCAAGAGUACACGUGAGGUAGAAAACAGUGCCCUGCACCCCCUCUGGAUUUUCUUGGCCCCUGCAGUCCUAAAGGUGAGUGUGCUGGAAGGCCAGCCCCGCUGGAGCGUAAAGUCAGCUUGACACCUGGCUCUGCGGCAGAGGGGCCCACCCGGCUGUCAGCUGUUGAGGAAGCUUCUGAUUCUUUCCUCCUCAAGUGUGAGAGGGCAGCCUGUUCCUCAGGCCAGCGUGGGUGAGAGGGUCCUGAAAGCACCUCAGUGGGCUUCUACCUUUGAAACUAAUAUGGUCUUGAAGCCUGUGGCCACACUCACUUUUCCUGGACAGCCCUUCUUUCCUGAAAUUAUUCUUCCCCCGAGACUGUGCAUUAGAUGUAAACUCCAGGUAAUUUAACCUCUGUAUAUGAUCCCAGGGCAUCACUUACUCGCCCCGAGACUUUCUCACCUGUAAGAUGGAAAUAGCAUAAGCCUCCUAGCAAGCUGGUUGUAAGAAUAAAAUGCCUAUUGAGUGCUACCAUGUAGAGGUGUCAGAUAAGUCAGGUAAUCUUUAAAUGACGAAGCUCCUUUGUCGGACCACAGUUCUGAAUGUUUGGUUCCUCGUUAAAGCAAGCAGUCCCGGGGUUUACAAUGGCCAAGGACACAAAUGGCUGCCCCACCUCUUCAGAGCAAUCCCCCCAGGCCGUCUUGUUGCAGCCACUGUGAGUUUUCUGAGACCCUGUGGGUUCAGAGGUGGAGAAUGAAGCUGGGAAAAACAGUAAGUCUUGGGUGGCGGAUCACGGUGCUGGGCCUGGAUGUGUGCUAUCCCAAGAUCACUCCCUGCGUUUACGGCCUCUCUGUUUCCUGCCUAAAUCCCGGGCGUUCCCUCUCACGCCUGCUCUGCUCCCUCUCCUUCAGUUAUUUCUCAGUCGUGUAACAUGUCAACUACGGGCCUGUCAUUUGAAGUGAAGGGCUAGUGACACAACGGGAAAUGAGGUCCCUGCCUCACAGGGUUUGCUUGCUUCCAGAGAAGACUUUUUUAGUUUAACAAGUUUUUAAUAGAUUGAGAAGUGUUACAGAAGCAUGUGAUGGGGCAGGGCCAGGGCCACCCCUAUCCCAUAUGAUAGUUUUGUACAGAUUAAGAAAAGGUGCCCCUUCUUCCUGCAGAUGCAGCUCUGCCCAGGUGCUGCCCAGGGUGAGUGGAAUGCAGGCUGAAUUUCAGUACCCGCCACUGCCUUGGCCAGGUGCCUUUGUGCAGUCCACAAGCUGCACAACCCUAUGUGGCAGCCCUGAGGGAUCCUCAUCUAGUUAGAUCAGAGCCUCCGUGAUUCCUUUGAGUCACUGCUGGUUCUCUUAUGAAGUAGAUGAAAUCGUCUCAAGAUGAGUUGUGGGAGUUGGUCCUGAGGGUUUAGAAACAGGAUGAGAGGGAAAAAAAUAGUCUGGAACUUGGCCUUCGAGGGACUGGCAGGCAGGGGGCUACUUGGGUUCUGUGGAUCAUGGCCUGAGUUCCUGAGGGGAAUAGGAAGAUGCCUGAGCACACGAUGCAUUUCAGCACUACCACCUCCUUUCUGCUGCUGCCGAGGGAGGCCAGGCCUGCUCGUGUCACCACCACAUCACAGAAGAGAUGAAUGCUUUUCAGGGGCUAGCCUGAAAGCCUAUCGCGUUUUGUGGCAUUUCUGGAGAGCAGGGCUGCAGCUUGUUCACUAUGACAUCCCUAGCAUUUCCCACACAGAGCUGCUCAGUGAGGACCUGUUGAAUGAACCAGCGUUACAGGAAAUGAAUUCUGAAUUUUCACCUCUGUUCAAAAGCUUUCGGAAUCCAGCCAGUUACUAACUCCAAGUUAGCGUGCAUGAGGGGCCUUAUAAAACAGUUUGGGCUUCAUGAUUCUGGUUAAGGUAGAAAUGAAGGUUCUGCCAGUCACGUUCUGAGCUGAGUAUGAAAAUAUCGGGAAAGGAAGGAGCGUGUUGGUUCAUCGUCGUGCCUGGCACCCGGGCCAGCUUUAUAGGCCUUUUCGCUGACCCUCACAAGUCUGCAAGGUCAGCGGGUCCUCGUUUUACAGGUGAGGAACCAGAGACUCGGAGAGGGUCCUGGAGCUGGUCUGAAUCAGGGUAGGAAUGGGCGGCUUCUUGGCGUACAAGCUGCACGGUCCCUUCUGCAUCCCGCUGCCUCCCCGAGGAAGGGUCAGGAGUGCAGACUGUUCUGCCCCUAGUGUUUGACCUAUGCCUUGUACGCACGUCAGUUCGUUUCAUCCCCAUAGGGACUGGAAGGAAAUUGAUUAAGGAAGUUAGUGAGCAGGGAAGUAGUCAACUCCAAUUUUCUCAUCCCAAACCAGCACUAGAGGGCAUGAGGGACUCAGGAGGGUAUGUUUCAAGGAGGCAGGAAGGUCUGGGCAUCAGACCGUGAUGGAGUGCACGACACACUUCCCAAAGCUCGCACCAUUACUCAUCACUGUUCUCUUGAAACCUGGCUUGUGCAGGGCCAGUUCCAAUUCCACCUGUAAACUCAGGACUCUAAGAAGGCACCAUCCUUUCUUUUGAUUUCUGAAAUAUUUCUUAAAGUCAGGUGACAUCUACCAUUGAAACAGACCAGCUCUAGUCUCAAUUUCAUGCACCUCCAUGCAAAAUAGUCUGUACGUGGCCAUUCUUCAGGCUCUGUGCAGGGUACCUGCUUGUCACAAAUGUUACAAACUAACUCGAAGUAAAGGUAUUAUUUUGAUGAGAUUAGCUGCUGGGUCAUUUUCCCAGUUAGCCUCUUAGCACAAAAUCUAUGGGUAAAAAAAAUCUCCAGGCUAUCGAUUCCUCUCUCUUAAAAUUGUAUAAGCAGGUUUGACCUUCGUAUAUUCUUGCACUUAUCAUUCCAGGAAAGUAUGCACCCUUCUAUUCUUAUGAAACAAAAAGGCCUACAUUUUAGGAUUUAACACCAGAACGCUGAAAAGAUUAUCCACCAAAUCUCACACUGUAUAUAGCACGUUAGAAAAAGAAAGUUUAAGUGACUAAAACAGAGAAGGAAAACUUUGCACAAUCCAAUGCAGCACAUAAAACACUGUACCUAAGAAACGUCCCUUGAGUUGGUCUGAGGAGGAAGGAACACUCUUCUUGAUGCCCAUCGGUAAACGGAU
RNA transcript from Balaenoptera acutorostrata (minke whale), 7840 nucleotides. It is a transcript of the gene named tRNA splicing endonuclease subunit 2, with no coding region annotated. Lineage: Eukaryota; Metazoa; Chordata; Mammalia; Artiodactyla; Balaenopteridae. The transcript has 14 exons. The record is from RefSeq and is a predicted model, not a curated record.